CCUACGGGCGGCAGCAGUGGGGGAUAUUGCACAAUGGGGGAAACCCUGAUGCAGCGACGCCGCGUGGGCGAAGAAGUAUUUCGGUAUGUAAAGCCCUAUCAGCAGGGAAGAAGAAAUGACGGUACCUGAGUAAGAAGCACCGGCUAAAUACGUGCCAGCAGCCGCGGUAAUACGUAUGGUGCAAGCGUUAUCCGGAUUUACUGGGUGUAAAGGGAGCGCAGGCGGCACGGCAAGCCUGAUGUGAAAGCCCGGGGCCCAACCGCGGAACUGCAUUGGGAACUACCGGGCUGGAGUGCCGGAGAGGUAGGCGGAAUGCCUAGUGUAGCGGUGAAAUGCGUAGAUAUUAGGAGGAACACCAGUGGCGAAGGCGGCCUACUGGACGGUGACUGACGCUGAGGCUCGAAAGCGUGGGGAGCAAACAGGAUUAGAUACCCUUGUAGUC
RNAcentral lists this ribosomal RNA (442 nucleotides) under uncultured bacterium. Its description in RNAcentral is "partial 16S ribosomal RNA". It matches the Rfam family "Bacterial small subunit ribosomal RNA", at positions 338 to 795 of the family's 1533-position model. The record is from RNAcentral.